UAUCCGUUAGGUGAGGUAACCACAGGGAUAAUCAGCUUUUAUGCUGAUAUUACGCUGUCUUUUACAGUUAAUGGGUUGCUGCCGCGAAAAUGUGGAGACACAUUCAGCCGGUUAGCAGACUAUGUCGAAACCAAGGCAUAAUCUAAUGCAACUUCACGCCCUGCGAUGCCAAAGCUCAUACGGUGGCA
Molecule: small RNA, 188 nt
Filed under: bovine gut metagenome
Description: M-box riboswitch (ykoK leader)
Rfam family: M-box riboswitch aptamer (ykoK leader)
About the family: M-box riboswitch, also know as ykoK leader is described as a metaloregulatory RNA that sense divalent metals and function as a genetic control element of genes related to divalent metal transport in bacteria. It was first reported upstream of the B.subtilis ykoK gene and genes with related functions in other bacteria. Phylogenetic analysis of the distribution of M-box RNAs across bacterial genomes revealed that M-box riboswitches are most often employed for the regulation of Mg2+ transporter genes
Source: RNAcentral